CGGGGAAUAUUGCGCAAUGGGCGAAAGCCUGACGCAGCGACACCGCGUGGAGGAAGAAUGCUUUCGAGUUGUAAACUCCUUUUCUCAGGGAAGAGAUAGGACGGUACCUGAGGAAUAAGCCUCGGCUAACUACGUGCCAGCAGCCGCGGUAAUACGUAGGAGGCGAGCGUUAUCCGGAUUUACUGGGCGUAAAGGGCGAGCAGGCGGCUCGUCAGGUCUCAUGUGAAAUCUCCCGGCUCAACUGGGAGGGGUCGUGGGAAACCGGCGAGCUUGAGGACAGCAGAGGAAAGUGGAAUUCCCGGAGUAGUGGUGGAAUGCUUAGAUACCGGGAGGAACACCAGUGGCGAAGGCGGCUUUCUGGGCUGAUCCUGACGCUGAGGCGCGAAAGCGUGGGGAGCAAACCGG
This 405-nucleotide ribosomal RNA is filed under the name uncultured Chloroflexota bacterium. RNAcentral's name for it is "bacterial SSU rRNA". It matches the Rfam family "Bacterial small subunit ribosomal RNA", at positions 355 to 776 of the family's 1533-position model. The record is from RNAcentral. Lineage: Bacteria; Bacillati; Chloroflexota.